This 119-nucleotide ribosomal RNA is filed under the name Pteropus alecto (black flying fox). Lineage: Eukaryota; Metazoa; Chordata; Mammalia; Chiroptera; Pteropodidae. The record is from RNAcentral.
GUCUAUGGCCAUGCUAUCCUGAACAUGCCUGAUCUCGUCUGAUCUCGGAAACUAAGCAGGAUUGGGCCUGGUUAGUACUUGGAUGGGAGACCACCUUGGAAUAACAGGUGUUAUAAUAU